RNAcentral lists this ribosomal RNA (490 nucleotides) under uncultured bacterium. RNAcentral's name for it is "partial 16S ribosomal RNA". It matches the Rfam family "Bacterial small subunit ribosomal RNA", at positions 30 to 507 of the family's 1533-position model. The record is from RNAcentral.
AUUGAACGCUGGCGGCAGGCCUAACACAUGCAAGUCGAACGGUAACAGGGAUCAGCUUGCUGAUUCGCUGACGAGUGGCGGACGGGUGAGUAAUGUCUGGGAAACUGCCUGAUGGAGGGGGAUAACUACUGGAAACGGUAGCUAAUACCGCAUAACGUCGCAAGACCAAAGAGGGGGACCUUCGGGCCUCUUGCCAUCGGAUGUGCCCAGAUGGGAUUAGCUAGUAGGUGGGGUAACGGCUCACCUAGGCGACGAUCCCUAGCUGGUCUGAGAGGAUGACCAGCCACACUGGAACUGAGACACGGUCCAGACUCCUACGGGAGGCAGCAGUGGGGAAUAUUGCACAAAGGGCGCAAGCCUGAUGCAGCCAUGCCGCGUGUAUGAAGAAGGACUUCGGGUUGUAAAGUACUUUCAGCGGGGAGGAAGGGAGUAAAGUUAAUACCUUUGCUCAUUGACGUUACCCGCAGAAGAAGCACCGGCUAACUCCGUG